CGAACGCUGGCGGCGUGCCUAAUACAUGCAAGUCGAGCGGAUCUUUCCUUCGGGAAAGGUUAGCGGCGGACGGGUGAGUAACACGUAGGCAACCUGCCUGUAAGAUCGGGAUAACUACCGGAAACGGUAGCUAAGACCGGAUAGAUGGUUCCUUCGCAUGAGGGGGCCAAGAAACACGGAGCAAGCUGUGGCUUACAGAUGGGCCUGCGGCGCAUUAGCUGGUUGGUGAGGUAACGGCUCACCAAGGCGACGAUGCGUAGCCGACCUGAGAGGGUGAUCGGCCACACUGGGACUGAGACACGGCCCAGACUCCUACGGGAGGCAGCAGUAGGGAAUCUUCCGCAAUGGACGCAAGUCUGACGGAGCAACGCCGCGUGAGUGAUGAAGGUUUUCGGAUCGUAAAGCUCUGUUGCCCUGGACGAACGCUUGGGAGAGUAACUGCUCUCAGGUGACGGUACAGGAGAAGAAAGCCCCGGCUAACUACGUGCCAGCAGCC
RNAcentral lists this ribosomal RNA (496 nucleotides) under Paenibacillaceae bacterium 316316/06. Its description in RNAcentral is "bacterial SSU rRNA". It matches the Rfam family "Bacterial small subunit ribosomal RNA", at positions 30 to 516 of the family's 1533-position model. The record is from RNAcentral. Lineage: Bacteria; Bacillati; Bacillota; Bacilli; Caryophanales; Paenibacillaceae.